UCCGUAGGGUGCAAGCGUUAAUCGGAAUUACUGGGCGUAAAGCGUGCGCAGGCGGUUUUGUAAGUCUGUCGUGAAAUCCCCGGGCUCAACCUGGGAAUGGCGAUGGAGACUGCAAGGCUAGAGUUUGGCAGAGGGGGGUAGAAUUCCACGUGUAGCAGUGAAAUGCGUAGAGAUGUGGAGGAACACCGAUGGCGAAGGCAGCCCCCUGGGUCAAAACUGACGCUCAUGCACGAAAGCGUGGGGAGCAAACAGG
RNAcentral lists this ribosomal RNA (253 nucleotides) under uncultured bacterium. RNAcentral's name for it is "partial 16S ribosomal RNA". It matches the Rfam family "Bacterial small subunit ribosomal RNA", at positions 524 to 776 of the family's 1533-position model. The record is from RNAcentral.